Molecule: ribosomal RNA, 1126 nt
Filed under: human gut metagenome
Description: bacterial LSU rRNA
Rfam family: Bacterial large subunit ribosomal RNA
Source: RNAcentral
UAGUCGAGAGGUCCUGCGCCGAAAAUGUCCGGGGCUGAAACACAACACCGAAGCUGCGGAAUUGCGAAUGCAAUUGGUAGAGGAGCAUUCUUAAUACCGACGAAGCUGUACCGGAAGGAGCAGUGGAGGGAUAAGAAGAGAGAAUGCCGGAAUGAGUAGCGAGAGAGAGGUGGGAAUCCUCUCGGCCGAAUAUCCAAGGUUUCCAGAGUAAAGCUGAUCUGCUCUGGGUAAGUCGGGGCCUAAGGCGAGGUCAAGAGACGUAGCCGAUGGACAACAGGUUUAGAUUCCUGUACCGCAUAUAAACAGAACUGUGGGGACGCAUGGGGAGAGCAUGGGCCGGGAAUGGAAAUACCGGUGCAAGCGAAGGAGGUGUGCAGCCGGCAAAUCCGCUGCAUGAGCCGAAAGCGUGACGCGGAGCGAAAUGAAAGUAGCGAAGCAUGUGAGCCCUGUGCCGAGAAAAGCCGCUAUUGUUUUAUAUGUGCCCGUACCGUAAACCGACACAGGUGGAUGAGGAGAGAAUCCUAAGGCCGGCGGAAGAAGUAUUGUUAAGGAACUCGGCAAAAUGACCCCGUAACUUCGGGAGAAGGGGUGCCCACGGGAGUGGGCCGCAGAGAAUAGGCUCAAGCAACUGUUUAGCAAAAACACAGGUCUAUGCGAAACCGAAAGGUGAAGUAUAUGGGCUGACGCCUGCCCGGUGCUGGAAGGUUAAGAGGAGAGGUUAGCGCAAGCGAAGCUUUGAAUUUAAGCCCCAGUAAACGGCGGCCGUAACUAUAACGGUCCUAAGGUAGCGAAAUUCCUUGUCGGGUAAGUUCCGACCCGCACGAAAGGCGUAAUGAUUUGAGCACUGUCUCGACAAUGCAUCCGGUGAAAUUGAAGUACCAGUGAAGAUGCUGGUUACCCGCGCCAGGACGGAAAGACCCCAUGGAGCUUUACUCCAGUUUGGUACUGGGAUUCGGUACUGCACGUACAGGAUAGGUGGGAGACUUUGAAACUUGAACGCCAGUUUGAGUGGAGUCGCUGUUGGGAUACCACCCCUGCAGUAUUGGAUUUCUAACCAGUCACCGUGAUCCGGUGAUGGGACAAUGCCAGGCGGGGAGUUUGACUGGGGCGGUCGCCUCCGAAAGGG